GAUGAACGCUGGCGGCGUGCCUAAUACAUGCAAGUCGAGCGAACAGACGAGGAGCUUGCUCCUCUGACGUUAGCGGCGGACGGGUGAGUAACACGUGGAUAACCUGCCUAUAAGACUGGGAUAACUUCGGGAAACCGGAGCUAAUACCGGAUAAUAUAUUGAACCGCAUGGUUCAAUAGUGAAAGACGGUUUUGCUGUCACUUAUAGAUGGAUCCGCGCCGCAUUAGCUAGUUGGUAAGGUAACGGCUUACCAAGGCAACGAUGCGUAGCCGACCUGAGAGGGUGAUCGGCCACACUGGAACUGAGACACGGUCCAGACUCCUACGGGAGGCGGCAGUAGGGAAUCUUCCGCAAUGGGCGAAAGCUUGACGGAGCAACGCCGCGUGAGUGAUGAAGGUCUUCGGAUCGUAAAACUCUGUUAUUAGGGAAGAACAAAUGUGUAAGUAACUAUGCACGUCUUGACGGUACCUAAUCAGAAAGCCACGGCUAACUACGUG
RNAcentral lists this ribosomal RNA (497 nucleotides) under uncultured bacterium. RNAcentral describes it as "partial 16S ribosomal RNA". It matches the Rfam family "Bacterial small subunit ribosomal RNA", at positions 28 to 507 of the family's 1533-position model. The record is from RNAcentral.